RNAcentral lists this ribosomal RNA (617 nucleotides) under Argentinomyia longicornis. Its description in RNAcentral is "eukaryotic LSU rRNA". It matches the Rfam family "Eukaryotic large subunit ribosomal RNA", at positions 387 to 826 of the family's 3401-position model. The record is from RNAcentral. Lineage: Eukaryota; Metazoa; Arthropoda; Insecta; Diptera; Syrphidae.
GUUCAAGAGUACGUGAAACUGCUUAGAGGUUAAGCCCGAUGAACCUGAAUAUCCGUUAUGGAAAAUUCAUCAUUAAUACUAUGAUAUUUAUAAUAUUAUAGAAAUAGUGUGCAAUUUUUCCAUAUAAGGACAUUGUAAUUUGUUAAUGUUAUAAAUAUUUAUCAAAAGAUCAAUUACUUUAUGUUUAUUUAAAUUAGUUAUUUUCGGAUUUCUAACAUAAAAUAAAUGUUUUUGAUUUGAUAAAUCAUUGACAGAUUUAAUUAUAUAUUGUGCUUAAAUUUUUCGGAAUUUUACAAUGAUGAAUAGAUCUAUUGAUUUAAUCAUUUAAAUUGUAUGCGCUUUUAUGAUUAACAAUGCGAUAGAUUCAGGAUACCUUCGGGACCCGUCUUGAAACACGGACCAAGGAGUCUAACAUAUGUGCAAGUCAUUGGGUAUUUUUAAUAAAACCCAAUGGCAUAAUUAACUUAACUGUUUUAAAUGGGAUUAGUUUAUAUUUUAUUAUGAAAUAUUAAUUCAAUCCCGGGGCGUUCUAUACAGUUAUGUAUAAUAAUAUUUAUAUUAUUUAUGCCUCUAACUAGAGCGUACCUUGAGCAUAUAUGCUGUGACCCGAAAGAUGG